RNAcentral lists this transfer RNA (68 nucleotides) under Marmota monax (woodchuck). RNAcentral describes it as "tRNA.Ala". The stretch from base 5 to 65 matches the Rfam family "tRNA", at positions 6 to 65 of the family's 71-position model. From Rfam's summary of the family: Transfer RNA (tRNA) molecules are approximately 80 nucleotides in length. Their secondary structure includes four short double-helical elements and three loops (D, anti-codon, and T loops). The record is from RNAcentral. Lineage: Eukaryota; Metazoa; Chordata; Mammalia; Rodentia; Sciuridae.
GGAAUGUAGCUCAGUGGUACAGCGCUUGCCUAGCACGUAUGAAGUCUUGGGUUCAAUCCUCAACACCA